This 275-nucleotide ribosomal RNA is filed under the name uncultured bacterium. RNAcentral describes it as "partial 16S ribosomal RNA". It matches the Rfam family "Bacterial small subunit ribosomal RNA", at positions 338 to 612 of the family's 1533-position model. The record is from RNAcentral.
CCUACGGGUGGCUGCAGUCGAGAAUCUUCGGCAAUGGACGCAAGUCUGACCGAGCGACGCCGCGUGCGGGAUGAAGGCCUUCGGGUUGUAAACCGCUGUCAGUGGGGAGGAAGGCCGUGUGAAGAGCAUGGUUUGACCUAUCCGCAGAGGAAGUGUGGGCUAAGCUCGUGCCAGCAGCCGCGGUAAGACGAGCCACACAAACGUUAUUCGGAAUUACUGGGCUUAAAGGGUGCGUAGGCGGCGCGGAAAGUUGGGUGUGAAAUCCCUCGGCUCAA